CCAUUUAUAAGGGUAUAUAAAUUAUUUAUAAAUAAUCUAUAAACUUUUUAUAAAGGGUAUGUAAACAAUUUGUUUGUUUAUGGCUUUAUAAAGUACUAGGAUAAGACCUGUCCUUUGCGCAUGGUGAGUUUAUUUGUAUAUAUUAUCAAUUAUUUUUUUAUAUAUUUUAUAAUUUUAUUCAUAUAUAUACAAUUUUUUUUGUUGUUAUUAUAUAAUUUCUUUCAGAUGGACCGGAUCAAUUUUAUUAAAAAUUGUGAAACUAAAUUAUAAUUAAUAUAUCAUGGGUUGAUCAGAUUGGACAUUAAACAAAUUAUGGUACAAAAAUCUUAUUUUUUCCACC
RNAcentral lists this long non-coding RNA (340 nucleotides) under Brassica napus (rape). RNAcentral's name for it is "long non-coding RNA (BNAP_LNC019759)". The record is from RNAcentral. Lineage: Eukaryota; Viridiplantae; Streptophyta; Magnoliopsida; Brassicales; Brassicaceae.